Molecule: ribosomal RNA, 776 nt
Filed under: uncultured Neocallimastigales
Lineage: Eukaryota; Fungi; Neocallimastigomycota; Neocallimastigomycetes; Neocallimastigales
Description: partial large subunit ribosomal RNA
Rfam family: Eukaryotic large subunit ribosomal RNA
Source: RNAcentral
UAUGUGAUCGUCUCUCGCAUAUCAAUAAGCGGAGGAAAAGAAACUAACAAGGAUUCCCCUAGUAACGGCGAGUGAAGCGGGAAGAGCUCAAAUUUGAAAUCUUAAAGGGUUUCCCUUUACGAAUUGUAGUUUAAAGAAGUGUUUUCUGUUGAGGUUUUGGUAAAAGUUCUUUGGAAUAGGACAUCAUAGAGGGUGAGAAUCCCGUAUUUGACCUUUACUUUCAACUUUGUGAUACACUUUCAAAGAGUCGGAUUGUUUGGGAAUGCAGUCCAAAAUGGGUGGCUAAAUUUCAUCUAAAGCUAAAUAUUGGCGAGAGACCGAUAGCGAACAAGUACCGUGAGGGAAAGAUGAAAAGAACUUUGAAAAGAGAGUUAAACAGUACGUGAAAUUGUCAAAAGGGAAGCGUUUGACACCAGUGUUGUUUUUCUGAAAAUCAAUUAAAGAACUGUUUAUGCUAAGCUGUUUAGACUUUAUCAGCUAAUCUGCUUAGUUUUGAGCUUUUCUUUAAUGCACUUUUCAGUUAACAAGUCAACAUCAAUUUCUUUUGCUGUAAAAAAGCUUGAGGAAGGUGGCUUGAGAUUCGUCUUAAGUGUUUAUAGCCUCUUGCCUAUGCAGUCGGAGAGAUAGAGGUCUGCAGCGUAGAUCCUUCGGGGCUAAAUGCAUUUGUGCUAAGUUAUAGCAUUUUAUAGACAACUUGUUGACUAUGAUUUGUCUUGUAGCUUACUCGCUUAUGUUAUUUUACCUACGCUUAGGAUGUUGAUCUACAGAGCGAGAGU